Molecule: non-coding RNA, 712 nt
Organism: Maylandia zebra (zebra mbuna)
Lineage: Eukaryota; Metazoa; Chordata; Actinopteri; Cichliformes; Cichlidae
Source: RefSeq, a predicted model, not a curated record
GGGACCUUCAAGGACCACCCACCAGCCACUGCUACAGGAGGACAAUAAACAGAAGAAGGAGAGCGGCACCAAAGAGGCGAAAAAACGAAAGAGCGCACCACCUCCUGACACCACAUCCACAAAGAAGUCCAAAUGUACCUCCAGUGCUGAGGGGGACGACAAGGAGGUUUUUCUCCUCCCUGUUCGUGGGCGUGAGCGUUACGAGAUGUUGAAGAAGAUCAAUGACGGUUUGGAGCUGCUUGACAAGGACAGCAAAAGCAAGUCAAAGGUCUCAGUGAAGCAUGAGGUUCCCGUGCCCUCCAGUGGAAAGAGGCUGCUCCAGAGAGGAGAGAGGAGUGACAGCGACUAAGAUGCCCAUCACCUCAAUUUCGAAAACAAAUGUCACCUUUUUGUCUAAGCCUUUAGGAUUAUUUCAGGUUUUAAAUGCCCAUUUAAAAACCAAAAUGCCAUCCUGCCUCAGUUAAAACGGUUCCUGAAACUGUACUGCCUGAUUAGUCACUGCACUGACAUACUGUUGUGUUCAGUUAUGUUUUUCUUUUCUUUUUAAAAAAAACAAAAAAAACAACCCUAUGUUCCUAAUUGGGUUAGAGCCGUUCAGCAUGGUUUGAGUGAGAUUAAGAAUGAUCCUUGUCAUAACGAGUCACUGCCGUUUAUUUAAAUAAAGUUCAAAGCUAGGCUUGCAAAACUUGAAUGGAAUUUGCCUCUGAUGUUG